Molecule: unclassified non-coding RNA, 153 nt
Filed under: soil metagenome
Description: partial internal transcribed spacer 1
Source: RNAcentral
CCGAGUUUACAACUCCCCAAACCCCUGUGAACAUACCUAUACGUUGCCUCGGCGGAUCAGCCCGCGCCCCUGUAAAACGGGACGGCCCGCCGCAGGACCCAUAAACCCUGAUUUUUUAGUGUAACUUCUGAGUUUAAAAAACAAAUAAAUCAA